Molecule: long non-coding RNA, 765 nt
Organism: Nerophis lumbriciformis (worm pipefish)
Lineage: Eukaryota; Metazoa; Chordata; Actinopteri; Syngnathiformes; Syngnathidae
Source: RefSeq, a predicted model, not a curated record
UGGAUCUUCUUAUGUGGCAACUCUUAGUGUGACAUAUAUGGCUGUUGAAUAAGUAUGCCUUUCACAUGUAAGCUGCACUCGAUGCGACAGUGACCAUUGAACCUGAUUAUAAACACGCAGACUUACAGCGAUCGUAGUCAUGUAUCAAAGGAAUCCCACUGAUAACACAAUAAUCACCGAUAACUCGUCCAAAACCACGAUUUAAAUUCCCAACUUUGAAAGUGACUCACUCCGUUCAGGACCCACGUGCGUUGCCAUGUGAACAUUGACCAUGUUUGUGUAGUGAAUGUGUUCUCCAGAAACGAAACUUUCCUCCGUCAGUAAAUGGAUGAAAGCUCGUUUCGUUAAGUUUCGUUUCCAGAAGCGCCUUCCCACAUCUAGUCCACUAUUUAAACUCCAUGCGGGCUGGUAGUGCAAAGACUAGGCGACACCAUGGGACUGAGUUGGAGUACUUCGUCAAAUGAGCCUGAUGUGAGAGCGAUGGGGUUCACCUCAGAUGGGAUAACAAAAGGAUCCUGGGCUGCAGAUAUGAUGUCAUCUGAAGCCACCGACAAUGGAGGAGGGGUGCCAUCAGGGGGCCCGGUAUCUAACUAUCAGUCAAAAGGGGCGGGCGGACAUGGUGGAAAAAACUAAUAACCAAAUAACAAAACCAUGAAAUAAAUAAUAAUAUUGGUCUAUUAAACUGUGUUCUGAAUGCAUUUUCUGUGUGAUUAAAAUCGCCUUUUAACAUUUACUUGAGUAAAAAUUACAAAAUUUGCACACAAA